GAUGAACGCUGGCGGCGUGCCUAAUACAUGCAAGUCGAGCGAACAGACGAGGAGCUUGCUCCUCUGACGUUAGCGGCGGACGGGUGAGUAACACGUGGAUAACCUACCUAUAAGACUGGGAUAACUUCGGGAAACCGGAGCUAAUACCGGAUAAUAUAUUGAACCGCAUGGUUCAAUAGUGAAAGACGGUUUUGCUGUCACUUAUAGAUGGAUCCGCGCCGCAUUAGCUAGUUGGUAAGGUAACGGCUUACCAAGGCAACGAUGCGUAGCCGACCUGAGAGGAUGAUCAGCCACACUGGAACUGAGACACGGUCCAGACUCCUACGGGAGGCAGCAGUAGGGAAUCUUCCGCAAAGGGCGAAAGCCUGACGGAGCAACGCCGCGUGAGUGAUGAAGGUCUUCGGAUCGUAAAACUCUGUUAUUAGGGAAGAACAAAUGUGUAAGUAACUAUGCACGUCUUGACGGUACCUAAUCAGAAAGCCACGGCUAACUACGUG
This 497-nucleotide ribosomal RNA is filed under the name uncultured bacterium. Its description in RNAcentral is "partial 16S ribosomal RNA". It matches the Rfam family "Bacterial small subunit ribosomal RNA", at positions 28 to 507 of the family's 1533-position model. The record is from RNAcentral.